RNA transcript from Neogale vison (American mink), 2091 nucleotides. It is a transcript of the gene named NME/NM23 family member 9, with no coding region annotated. The transcript is spliced from 11 exons. NCBI's taxonomy places the organism in Eukaryota, Metazoa, Chordata, Mammalia, Carnivora, Mustelidae. The record is from RefSeq and is a predicted model, not a curated record.
AAUAGAUUGGAAACUCGCUGCACUUUGAGCACGGUGGAUCUGUCGAGGGAUAGUUCGCGGUGGCUCAGUUUCCUAGGAAUAUAUUGCAACAGGACGGGGGCUUUGUCUGAAGGAGGCUCUGGAUUUGCUGGUCUUUGCAGCGGUUUGUCUCCACGCCCCAGUCAGAAGUUAACAGGGCUUCUGUCUUUGCAGAGCCAUGGGCAGCAAGAAGAAGGAAAUUGCCCUGCAGGUUAACAUCAGCACCCAGGAGCUUUGGGAGGAAAUGCUCAGUUCCAAAGGACUAACUGUUGUCGAUGUCUACCAAGGCUGGUGCGGGCCCUGCAAACCCAUGGUGAGCCUCUUCCAGAAGAUGAGGAUCGAGGGGGGCCUGGACCUUCUGCAUUUUGCAUUAGCAGAAGCAGAUUGUCUUGAUGUCCUUGAAAAAUACCGUGGGAAGUGUGAGCCGACCUUUCUGUUUUAUGCAGGUGGAGAGCUGGUGGCUGUGGUUAGAGGCGCCAAUGCCCCACUGCUGCAGAAAACCAUCCGAGAGCAGCUGGAGGCUGAAAAGAAAGUUCUGGCCGAAGGCUGUGAGCGCAAAGUGAUUAGAGAUGAGCCUCUGUCUGAUGAAGAUGGAUGCCUCUCCCACGAUAAGGACAUUGGUGACGACGAGGACGUGGCUUCAUCAGGGAAGACCUGCACCUUGGCCAUCAUUAAGCCAGAUGCAGUGGUCCAUGGAAAGACUGAUGAGAUUAUUAUGAAGAUCCACGAAGCUGGUUUUGACAUUUUAGCAAAUGAAGAGAGAACCAUGACAGAAGCAGAAAUGCGGCUUUUCUAUCAGCACAAAGCUGGAGAGGAGGCAUUUGAGAAGCUGGUUCACCACAUGUGCAGUGGACCGAGCCACCUCCUGAUCCUCACCAGGCCUGAGGGCACUGAGGACGUGAUCGCUGCCUGGCGAACGCUCAUGGGGCCCUGUGACCCUGAUGUAGCAAGGAGGGAGCAGCCUGACAGGUGAUGUCACCAGCUGUUGUCUUUUCAUUUGUCUCAAAACCUGCAUCCAAAGAAGCCCAGAGCCUUGCUCUAUAUUCAGCCCCAAAUCCCUGUUACAUAUAUUUGGAGAGAUGCUGACCUCUUUGUUAUCUAUGUGAGGAGACCCUGCUACCCUCACUCUCUGAUCUAGUCCUACAGUUAUGGAGUUCCACAGUGUGGUUCCAGAAACAAAGGCAACACGCAUCCAGGAAAUACGGAUUACAGGUCCCCGCCAAACUCUGCCAAGUCAGAGACUCUGGGCAGAGCCUUAAGGGUCCACCCAGGGUGUUCUGAGGCCCCCUGGAUUCUGAGCACUUGGUUCUGCACUUUGCACGAGGCUGCCGUGGCCCUGUAUUUAGCCUGGCAUCAAUGCCAAACCCACUGUGCCCUGUCUUUGAAGCUGAGAGAGCCCAGUGACCAGAAAGGAAACGAGCAAGAGACUAAGUAAUUGCAGUUGUACCUUGCAGUUGUAGGAGACCAGAACAUUCAUACAUGGGACUAAUAAGACAGCCCAGGGUUCAGAUCCUAGCUAACCACAUAGUUGAGUAAGUCCUUUUUCUGAGCCUCAGUUCUCAUCUGUAAAAUGGGGUUAUGACACCUGCCCUGGGAGCUGUUAAGAGUACUCCCUAGGGCCAUACAUUAAUCCCUCUGUGCCUUAAUUUCUUCAUCUGAAAAAUGGGUACAAUGACUCACACAUUGAUGAGAGGAUUAAAUGACCAUAUGUAUGCAUGUGUGUGUGUGUGUGUGUCUGUAUGUGUAUAUACAUAUAUGUAUAUGAAACUCUUGGAACAGUGCUUGAUGCAAAGGAAGCCCUGGCAGUAUUAGUGUUAUCUUAUGGGGCUAUUGAGGAAUUAAUGAAGCACACCUACAUCGAACUCUUGGCAGGGCAUCCGUCCCUGGUAGUGAGAUCAACAAAAUGGCAGCUCUCGAGCCUACACCGUGACUCACGCAUAUUUAUAUUGAGAAUCAUGACAGAGUGUCCUUCACAGAGCUGUGGCACAAACGAAACGGGAUCGUGUAUUAUCCGCGCUCAGUUUGGCACAGAAAUGCCCUUCAACGCAGUCCACGGAAGCCAGGACAGAGAGG